GGUGCAUGAGUCACAAACGAUUGGAGCCCACCACGGUGGAAGGCCUACGAAGAGAUGUUCAAAACAUUUCUCGCUUAUCAACUUAAUAUUCGUUUGUCGAGGGAGUAGUUUUAGGCUACAUCAAAAUCAUUUUAAUCAUAUUAAAAGAACUUGGGCCUAUCACAACUAUUGGUCCAAGUUAAUAUGAAUUUAGUUGUUUAUAAUACUCCCACUAUUUCGAAGAAAUAAGUGAGACUAUAUGGAACUACUAACGAAUGCAUUGCAUCCUUAUAUGGACUAUAUAGUCAUAUUAGGUCUUAGGAUGAUUAUGAACCGAUUAAUUUGAUCCAACACGAGCCUUGUGUUGGACCUUGGGUUUAAGGUAGAUAGUUGUUGAUUUUAGUUACGCGUUUAAUCCAAUUAAACCAUUAUUUCCUAUUGGGCGUUGGACCCAACUAUUCCAUUUUGCAUACAUAUAAACAAAAGGAAUACAUGAAAUAAUAAGAAGGGCUUAUGCCCUUUUACAACACAAAUGAUGGACUUAUGUCCAUUUACAACAAAUUAAAUUAAUCAAAUUACAUUCAAAAUCUACACUACCAAACCCAAACAUUCAUAAUGUAAAGCGGCCAAUCACAUAGCUCAAUUAUCGAGGCCUUUGGUUCAUAAUCACCCUUUUCUCAAUUAAUCACAUUAACUAAGAAAGCAACUUAAACAAUUGGUUUCUGGAUCCAUAGAAUUGAUUU
Molecule: long non-coding RNA, 722 nt
Filed under: Malus domestica (apple)
Lineage: Eukaryota; Viridiplantae; Streptophyta; Magnoliopsida; Rosales; Rosaceae
Description: long non-coding RNA (MDOM_LNC012719)
Source: RNAcentral